RNAcentral lists this unclassified non-coding RNA (89 nucleotides) under Pseudomonas cedrina. The record is from RNAcentral. Lineage: Bacteria; Pseudomonadati; Pseudomonadota; Gammaproteobacteria; Pseudomonadales; Pseudomonadaceae.
UGUGGGAGCUGGCUUGCCUGCGAUAGCGGUGUAUCAGUUGACACAUCAGUGGCUGAAACACCGCUAUCGCAGGCAAGCCAGCUCCCACA